CAAUAGCGUAUAUUAAAGUUGUUGCAGUUAAAAAGCUCGUAGUUGGAUUUCUGGUGAGAUGGAUUAUGUCUAGGUCGAAAGAUCUUGUUCAUGGUUCGUUUUGCCCUUCUUGUCAGGAACCCGCUGAGAUUCGCGUCUUGUCGGUGGAAUGGCAUCGUUUACUGUGAAAAAAUUAGAGUGUUCAAAGCAGGCAUCGCCGUCGAAUACAUUAGCAUGGAAUAAUAAGAUAAGACUUUGGUGGUCUAUUUUGUUGGUUUGCACGCCAAAGUAAUGAUUAAUAGGGAUAGUUGGGGGUAUUCGUAUUCUAUUGCUAGAGGUGAAAUUCUUAAAUUUAUGGAAGACGAACUACUGCGAAAGCAUUUACCAAGGAUGUUUUCAUUAA
RNAcentral lists this ribosomal RNA (382 nucleotides) under uncultured eukaryote. RNAcentral describes it as "partial 18S ribosomal RNA". It matches the Rfam family "Eukaryotic small subunit ribosomal RNA", at positions 592 to 976 of the family's 1831-position model. The record is from RNAcentral.